AUCGAUANUCCACGUUAANUUUCACUUUAUAUAAAAAUUUAUAUACCUCCAUCUUAAGAAUUAAUUUAAAAAUAUUUCUCAAAAAAAUAAAUAAAAAGUUAGGUCAAGGUGUAAUUUAUAUUAAAGAAAAAAUGAAUUACAUUAAACACUAUUUAAGGAUUAUAAAUAAAUAUAAUUAUAUAAAUAAGGAUUUAAAAGCAAUAUUAAAACAAUAUUAUAAUAUGAUAUAAAUAAUAAAUGUGUACACAUCGCCC
RNAcentral lists this ribosomal RNA (254 nucleotides) under Draconarius sp. ZZ928. RNAcentral's name for it is "partial 12S ribosomal RNA". Lineage: Eukaryota; Metazoa; Arthropoda; Arachnida; Araneae; Agelenidae. The record is from RNAcentral.